Molecule: transfer RNA, 73 nt
Filed under: Camelus bactrianus (Bactrian camel)
Lineage: Eukaryota; Metazoa; Chordata; Mammalia; Artiodactyla; Camelidae
Also listed under: 2 other names
Rfam family: tRNA
About the family: Transfer RNA (tRNA) molecules are approximately 80 nucleotides in length. Their secondary structure includes four short double-helical elements and three loops (D, anti-codon, and T loops).
Source: Rfam by way of RNAcentral
GAGGGCAUAGCUCAAGAGGUAGAGCUCAUGCUUAGCGUACACAAGGUCCUGGGUUCAAUCCCCAGUGCCUCCC